GAUGAACGCUAGCUACAGGCUUAACACAUGCAAGUCGAGGGGAAACGAUAUUGGAAGCUUGCUUCCGAUAGGUGUCGACCGGCGCACGGGUGAGUAACGCGUAUCCAACCUGCCCAUCACUUGGGAAUAACCUUGCGAAAGUAAGACUAAUGCCCAAUGACAUUUAUAGAAGGCAUCUGAAAUGAAUUAAAGAUUUAUCGGUGAUGGAUGGGGAUGCGUCUGAUUAGCUUGUUGGCGGGGUAACGGCCCACCAAGGCUACGAUCAGUAGGGGUUCUGAGAGGAAGGUCCCCCACAUUGGAACUGAGACACGGUCCAAACUCCUACGGGAGGCAGCAGUGAGGAAUAUUGGUCAAUGGGCGCAGGCCUGAACCAGCCAAGUCGCGUGAGGGAAGACGGUCCUACGGAUUGUAAACCUCUUUUGUCGGGGAGUAACGUGCGGGACGCGUCCCGUAUUGAGAGUACCCGAAGAAAAAGCAUCGGCUAACUCCGUG
This 492-nucleotide ribosomal RNA is filed under the name uncultured bacterium. Its description in RNAcentral is "bacterial SSU rRNA". It matches the Rfam family "Bacterial small subunit ribosomal RNA", at positions 28 to 507 of the family's 1533-position model. The record is from RNAcentral.